CUCANCCUGGGAACUGCGUUCUGAACUGGGUAGCUAGAGUAUNUCAGAGGGGGGUAGAAUUCCACGUGUAGCAGUGAAAUGCGUAGAGAUGUGGAGGAAUACCGAUGGCGAAGGCAGCCCCCUGGGAUAAUACUGACGUUCAUGCUNGAAAGCGUGGGUAGCAAACAGGAUUAGAUACCCUGGUAGUCCACGCCCUAAACGAUGUCGAUUAGCUGUUGGGCAACUUGAUUGCUUAGUAGCGUAGCUAACGCGUGAAAUCGACCGCCUGGGGAGUACGGUCGCAAGAUUAAAACUCAAAGGAAUUGACGGGGACCCGCACAAGCGGUGGAUGAUGUGGAUUAAUUCGAUGCAACGCGAAGAACCUUACCUGGUCUUGACAUGUACGGAAGAACUCAGAGACGAGUUUGUGCCUUCGGGAGCCGUAACACAGGUGCCGCAUGGCUGUCGUCAGCUCGUGUCGUGAGAUGUUGGGUUAAGUCCCGCAACGAGCGCAACCCUUGUCAUUAGUUGCCAUCAUUUAGUUGGGCACUCUAAUGAGACUGCCGGUGACAAACCGGAGGAAGGUGGGGAUGACGUCAAGUCCUCAUGGCCCUUAUGACCAGGGCUUCACACGUCAUACAAUGGUCGGUACAGAGGGUAGCCAAGCCGCGAGGUGGAGUCAAUCCCAGAAAACCGAUCGUAGUCCGGAUUGCACUCUGCAACUCGAGUGCAUGAAGUCGGAAUCGCUAGUAAUCGCAGGUCAGCAUACUGCGGUGAAUACGUUCCCGGGUCUUGUACACACCGCCCGUCACACCAUGGGAGUGGGGGAUACCAGAAGUAGGUAGGGUAACCGCAAGGAGCCCGC
This 844-nucleotide ribosomal RNA is filed under the name uncultured bacterium. RNAcentral's name for it is "bacterial SSU rRNA". It matches the Rfam family "Bacterial small subunit ribosomal RNA", at positions 608 to 1453 of the family's 1533-position model. The record is from RNAcentral.